GAUGAACGCUGGCGGCGUGCCUAAUACAUGCAAGUCGAGCGAACAGACGAGGAGCUUGCUCCUCUGACGUUAGCGGCGGACGGGGGAGUAAAACGUGGAUAACAUACCUAUAAGACUGGGAUAACUUAGGGAAACCGGAGCUAAUACCGGAUAAUAUAUUGAACCGCAUGGUUCAAUAGUGAAAGACGGUUUUGCUGUCACUUAUAGAUGGAUCCGCGCCGCAUUAGCUAGUUGGUAAGGUAACGGCUUACCAAGGCAACGAUGCGUAGCCGACCUGAGAGGGUGAUCGGCCACACUGGAACUGAGACACGGUCCAGACUCCUACGGGAGGCAGCAGUAGGGAAUCUUCCGCAAUGGGCGAAAGCCUGACGCAGCAACGCCGCGUGUGUGAUGAAGGUCUUCGGAUCGUAAAGCUCUGUUAGUAGGGAAGAACAAAUGUGUAAUUAACUAUGCACGUCUUGACGGUACCUACUCAGAAAGCCACGGCUAACUACGUG
This 497-nucleotide ribosomal RNA is filed under the name uncultured bacterium. RNAcentral describes it as "partial 16S ribosomal RNA". It matches the Rfam family "Bacterial small subunit ribosomal RNA", at positions 28 to 507 of the family's 1533-position model. The record is from RNAcentral.